UGGCAGGGUGCAGAGAUGGGGUGGGUAAGAUUUGACACAGAACACACAAAAGACCCCAGCCGUGUGGGUGUGGGUGUGGUGGUGGGGAGCCAAGUCAAAGGACCAGGCUGAUUCUCUCAUUGGACUUUACAUGGCGCCAAUCCUGAAGUGUUUGUCAAGGGAGGCCCGCUCUCUGUUCCCAUGGCUCAGGAGGGACUUGAACCCAGGACUGCCAGGUCCUCCUCUGACAUUCCACCCACUCCACAGCACUGGCUCUCCUGGAAGGGUUUCCUGGGGAAGGGGGGAAAAACUUCCUACCCAUAACUUCACUUGAAUGGGAAAGGUUUGGGUUCAAAAGUUUGUGAUACCCCCCUUGCCCUGCAUCCUCCUCUUUCUUUCUUUCCUGCCUUCCCCCCCCCCCCCACCCCUGGCUGUUCCUUCCUUGGCAUUUCUGCCCUUGCAAGAACAGAGAGAGAGACACACACAUGGAGGUGUCACCCGCACAAGAUAGGAAAAGGACAAACACAUGCUGGAAGGCUCUUAUCCAAAGAAACUUCCCUCCUUUUCCUUUUCUCCCAGGCAGGACCUGAGGCCAAGCCGAGGCUCUCCUGGAUUUGCUCAACAUCCAGAGAGGAGAAGCAAACUCCCGAUCGAUCCCUCCAACCUUCGCAAGGCAGGGGAGAUUUUCUUCCUUGGGAUCAGAAGCCCCUCCGUACACCCGACAGGAGACAAACUGCCGUCAAGGCAACAGAUAAGAACCAAAGUUCUGUGGAGCCAGCUAUUUUGCCACUUAAAAGUAGCAAGCCCAAAGCAGGAAGCGAGAGAGAGAGAGAAACCCUAAAGGAAGGAAAAAGUAAAAGGGAAGUCAGGCAAGAACAGAAGGAAAUACAUCUCUAGCUUCUCAGGGAUAUGAUGUAUGUCAGCAACUGUCUGUUUGAAAAAACGCCAGGAAAAAGCAUGGAAAAGGUGCUCCAUCAGCAGAACUAAAUUCAAAUAUAUCACAGAUAUGAACAAACAUAGCAGAAUCUAGUCACAGGCAAUGUCAAACCAAUGUAUGGAACUUUGAAAGGGCAUCAUUCUGAACAGUAAUUGUAUUUCACAUGAAAUACCCCUGAGAG
This 1097-nucleotide long non-coding RNA is filed under the name Pogona vitticeps (central bearded dragon). RNAcentral describes it as "lncRNA (ENSPVIG00000006683.1)". The record is from RNAcentral. Lineage: Eukaryota; Metazoa; Chordata; Lepidosauria; Squamata; Agamidae.